This 686-nucleotide long non-coding RNA is filed under the name Monodelphis domestica (gray short-tailed opossum). Its description in RNAcentral is "lncRNA (ENSMODG00000034293.2)". The record is from RNAcentral. Lineage: Eukaryota; Metazoa; Chordata; Mammalia; Didelphimorphia; Didelphidae.
AUGAGGCAAAGAAUUUCUAGGAUGGAGAUUCCAGGAAUAGCUAUUUCUAGAAGAGGGAAGUAGUUCUAUAGAAAGAAACAUAUUUAGAGCAGAGUCAGACUGUUGUAUAUAAACCAUAUAAAUUUCACAGAACCUCCCCCCAAAAUAUUAUAAGUUUUUCUAUCACACUGGGUUAUGCUAUACCUUAACCAUUAAUUGUGGUUUUAUUUCUAUGGGAAUAUGUUCCAAGUUCAAAGUAAGAGACUUAUAAAACCAUUUUUGGAAUGCAACUUGUUCAUAAAUUGAGGACUUCCUGUACUUCUACAGUAUAUCUAUUACUCUAUUGGCUAGAAGUAUUAUAGAUUGAUGUGCAAAUCUCAGUUUAUAGCCAGUCUCAAGUGGAUAUUACAUCUAUCAGAGUCAUCCCUAGAAUAAAGUAAAUUGUGAAGAUUACCCUGAAACCUGUGCUUUUUAGAGGAGCCAAUGGGAGCACACAAGGGGUAAUAAGAAUUAUUGCAGAUCUAUCAGUGCUCCCAGACUGCCAGUUGGUAGUCUGUUACAUGACAGGAUGUCCCAGUACAGCUCAGGUGAAACCAGAUCUGGCCCAACCUUGCUCCUGCAACACAGAAUUCUACCUAGGUAAGGAACCAACAAUAAACUAGACUCUAUAUUUGAAAAAUUAAGUGGAUUCCUGAAUUUCAUUUAGU